GAGGGAAGGAGGAGUGGAUACAAACAAUGGCCAAUGAUGGAUGAAGGAACACCUGGGGUUGCAAGGUGUAGACUUGAGAUAACUGGUGGAUGCAGCCAAUAGCGAUAAUGGGAGUGCCCAGGCUCCGGCACGGCCUGCUACACAGAGGUGAAUGUCAGACUAGCCACUUGACUCCCUUUGACAAUCCUCCGAGAAUUCCCUACUGCAAAUGCAAUCACCAUUUCUUUUCAUUUUUCUUUUUGUAAAAUAUAUCCACCUACUCAAAGAGACAGAUGCUAGGCAGGGUAAAAAGAGGCAGAAGUUAGGCAAGACUGUUUUGUUCAGCACCCAAGAAUGUUAAUCCUCAGAGUUGUGCCCUGAAGAUUAACAGCCUCAUUUUCUGAUGAGGACACUGAGGCCAAGAAAGGAAAAGUGACUUGAUUCAAGGCACACAGCUAGGAAGUAAUGGCGUUGGGUGUUACACCUGUCUGUCUAUUGCAAAGCCUUCCAAACCUGCUCAGUUUCUCCACUGCAGGGAUGUCAGACCAAGGGCCUUUCUCUGCCCCUUCUAUGUAAGCAGGCAGGUGGGUAUUUGCUCUACGGAUGAAGCUGGAUCUGCCUCUGCUGUUGUGGGAGACAUGAGGACAGAGGCUGCAGCUCUUGGACUAAGCUCUGCUGCUUUCAAGCUGUGUGGUCUUGGGCAAAUCACUCAGGUUCUCCGAGGCUCUGUCUCAUCACCUGUCAAAGGCAGAUAAUGAAUCCUUCCUGUUGCAGGCAUUGAGAGGAUUAAGCUGGAUUAGACUUUCAGACUUACCUCUAUUGUGAUGGUGGAAGUACAGAGUGAAAUGAAAACAGAGAGAGUAGACAUCUCUCUCUUAACGUAAUGGAAGCAAGGAAGGCUGUAGGAAAGAAGAGACAGCUGAGACCUGGAGGAUGAAUGAGGAACUGGCUUCAACAGGAGGGGUCUCGCUCUGUCACCCAGGCUGGAGUGCAGGCGUGCUAUCUUGGCUCACUGCAACUUCUGCUUCCCGAGUUCAAGAGAUCCUCAUACCUCAGCCUCCUGAGUAGCCGGGACUACAGGCAUGCGCCACCACACCCAGGUAAUUUUUGUAUUUUUAGUAGAGACAGGGUUUCAUCAUGUUGGCCAGGCUGGUCUUAAACUCCUGGCCUCAUGUGAUCUGCCUGCCUUGGCCUCCCAAAGUGCCAGGAUUACGGGAGUGAGCCACUGCAUCCGGCUUGAUUUUACACUUUGUUAUAUUGAAUGAUUACUGAAAAACAGUCUGAAAAACAAUGGGGUAAAAUAGGUUCUGUAACAUUGUAAUGGCUGCAUUCAUAAACAUUCAUAAAAUUACACUGAUUGAUUGAUGUGGAAAAUAAAUAUAAGAGACAUGGUCUCUGUCUUCAAGGAGUAUAUCAGUGAUUAUAUAGUCAUAGCAUCCUAUUCUACAAAUAUAAUAUUUAGCUAGUUUUAUAUUAUUUGAAAUUUAGACUUCUAGUUUUUCUCUGUUAUAUAUAUAAAAAGUGAACAUCUUAAUACAUAUUCGUUCACUACGACGGAAAUUCCCAUGUUUUAAAUUCCAGUCUUAUACAUGGAAUUGUCAUGUUGAAUAUUAUGUCCUUUUAAAAGUAAUUGACUUAAAAAUCUUUGAAUCAAACACUCGAAGUUGUUUGAGUGCCUUUUUCCUCAUAGCCUCACCAACACAGAUAAUCACUUUUAAAAUUAUUGGUCAUCUGAUAGGCAAAAGUUAUCUUGUUUUAACUUGAAUUUUUGAUUAUAAAAAUUGGUACAUUAAAAUGCUUUUGGGCUAAUUAAAAAUAUUGGAAACAGAAAGUAGGUAGUAACAUAACAUUUCAAAUAGCAUACUGAGGUAUAGAUGGUAAGUUUGUUUUCUCCCACCCCAGGCUCCUACACCCCAUCUCUGGAGCUGAACUCUCUAGUUAGCAUGUGCUUAACAUGACUGCAUGAGGGCAAGGGCUUUGUUUUCCCAGCGUGUAGAAUGAUGGCUGGCACACAACAGGUACUCAUUGGAUGCUUAUUAAAUAAAUAAGCACUUUCCUGAAUAGAGUAAUGAAAAUUUUCUAUGUAAACAUAAACACCUACAUGCAUACUUUUUAAUCCUUUUUAUAUUAUUAACAAAAAUGGGAACUCACCACACACACUAUUCUUAAAUGUCUCGAUAUUGUUCCAUAUAAACAUAUUUAGACUCCUUU
RNAcentral lists this long non-coding RNA (2190 nucleotides) under Homo sapiens (human). Its description in RNAcentral is "HSALNT0007317". Lineage: Eukaryota; Metazoa; Chordata; Mammalia; Primates; Hominidae. The record is from RNAcentral.